GGAGCUUGCUCCACCCCGACGACGAGUGGCGAACGGGUGAGUAAUACAUCGGAACGUGUCCGCUCGUGGGGGACAACCAGCCGAAAGGUUGGCUAAUACCGCAUGAGUUCUACGGAAGAAAGAGGGGGACCCGCAAGGGCCUCUCGCGAGCGGAGCGGCCGAUGACUGAUUAGCCGGUUGGUGAGGUAACGGCUCACCAAGGCAACGAUCAGUAGCUGGUCUGAGAGGACGACCGGCCACACUGGGACUGAGACACGGCCCAGACUCCUACGGGAGGCAGCAGUGGGGAAUUUUGGACAAUGGGCGCAAGCCUGAUCCAGCUAUUCCGCGUGUGGGAUGAAGGCCCUCGGGUUGUAAACCACUUUUGUAGAGAACGAAAAGACAUCUUCGAAUAAAGGAUGUUGCUGACGGUACUCUAAGAAUAAGCACCGGCUAACUACGUGCCAGCAGCCGCGGUAAUACGUAGGGUGCGAGCGUUAAUCGGAAUUACUGGGCGUAAAGGGUGCGCAGGCGGUUGAGUAAGACAGAUGUGAAAUCCCCGAGCUUAACUCGGGAAUGGCAUAUGUGACUGCUCGACUAGAGUGUGUCAGAGGGAGGUGGAAUUCCACGUGUAGCAGUGAAAUGCGUAGAUAUGUGGAAGAACACCGAUGGCGAAGGCAGCCUCCUGGGACAUAACUGACGCUCAGGCACGAAAGCGUGGGGAGCAAACAGGAUUAGAUACCCUGGUAGUCCACGCCCUAAACGAUGUUAACUAGUUGUUGGGAUGUAACAAUCUCAGUAACGCAGCCAACGCGAGAAGUUAACCGCCUGGGAAGUACGGUCGCAAGACUAAAACUCAAAGGAAUUGACGGGGACCCGCACAAGCGGUGGAUGAUGUGGAUUAAUUCGAUGCAACGCGAAAAACCUUACCUACCCUUGACAUGUCAGGAAGCUCUUGUAAUGAGAGCGUGCCCGCAAGGGAGCCUGAACACAGG
Molecule: ribosomal RNA, 974 nt
Filed under: human gut metagenome
Description: bacterial SSU rRNA
Rfam family: Bacterial small subunit ribosomal RNA
Source: RNAcentral